Molecule: ribosomal RNA, 121 nt
Filed under: [Coniosporium] sp. SL110414
Lineage: Eukaryota; Fungi; Ascomycota; Eurotiomycetes; Chaetothyriales; Herpotrichiellaceae
Description: Coniosporium sp. SL110414 partial 18S ribosomal RNA
Source: RNAcentral
UCCGCUUAUUGAUAUGCUUAAGUUCAGCGGGUAUCCCUACCUGAUCCGAGGUCAACCUGAGAAGGUGGGCCGCGAGGGCCCGGUUUGUCCGGCAGGCGAAGCCCAACUCAGAAGCGAAUAA